Molecule: ribosomal RNA, 427 nt
Filed under: uncultured bacterium
Lineage: Bacteria
Description: partial 16S ribosomal RNA
Rfam family: Bacterial small subunit ribosomal RNA
Source: RNAcentral
UGGGGAAUAUUGCACAAUGGGCGCAAGCCUGAUGCAGCCAUGCCGCGUGUAUGAAGAAGGCCUUCGGGUUGUAAAGUACUUUCAGCGGGGAGGAAGGCGUUGUGGUUAAUAACCACAGCGAUUGCCGUUACCCGCAGAAGAAGCACCGGCUAACUCCGUGCCAGCAGCCGCGGUAAUACGGCGGGUGCAAGCGUUAAUCGGAAUUACUGGGCGUAAAGCGCACGCAGGCGGUCUGUUAAGUCAGAUGUGAAAUCCCCGGGCUCAACCUGGGAACUGCAUUUGAAACUGGCAGGCUUGAGUCUCGUAGAGGGGGGUAGAAUUCCAGGUGUAGCGGUGAAAUGCGUAGAGAUCUGGAGGAAUACCGGUGGCGAAGGCGGCCCCCUGGACGAAGACUGACGCUCAGGUGCGAAAGCGUGGAGAGCAAACA